This 253-nucleotide ribosomal RNA is filed under the name uncultured bacterium. Its description in RNAcentral is "partial 16S ribosomal RNA". It matches the Rfam family "Bacterial small subunit ribosomal RNA", at positions 524 to 776 of the family's 1533-position model. The record is from RNAcentral.
UACGUAGGUGGCAAGCGUUGUCCGGAAUUAUUGGGCGUAAAGCGCGCGCAGGCGGUCCUUUAAGUCUGAUGUGAAAGCCCACGGCUCAACCGUGGAGGGUCAUUGGAAACUGGGGGACUUGAGUACAGAAGAGAAGAGUGGAAUUCCACGUGUAGCGGUGAAAUGCGUAGAGAUGUGGAGGAACACCAGUGGCGAAGGCGACUCUUUGGUCUGUAACUGACGCUGAGACGCGAAAGCGUGGGGAGCGAACAGG